GAUGAACGCUGGCGGCGUGCCUAAUACAUGCAAGUCGAGCGAACGGACGAGAAGCUUGCUUCUCUGAUGUUAGCGGCGGACGGGUGAGUAACACGUGGAUAACCUACCUAUAAGACUGGGAUAACUUCGGGAAACCGGAGCUAAUACCGGAUAAUAUUUUGAACCGCAUGGUUCAAAAGUGAAAGACGGUCUUGCUGUCACUUAUAGAUGGAUCCGCGCUGCAUUAGCUAGUUGGUAAGGUAACGGCUUACCAAGGCAACGAUGCAUAGCCGACCUGAGAGGGGGGGCGGCAAAAGUGGAACGGCGACAGGAGGAGGAAGAGGAAGGGAGGAGCAAGGGGGGAAUAGUGAGGAAGGGGUGAAAGACUGAAGGAGAAAUGAAGAGGGAAGAAUGAAGGUGGAAGGAUUGGAGAAAUCUGUGAUGAGGGAAGAACAAAGGGGUAAGGAAAGAUGCAAGCCAGGAAGGGAGAGAAGAAGAAAGCAAAGGAGAGACCGGGG
Molecule: ribosomal RNA, 497 nt
Filed under: uncultured bacterium
Lineage: Bacteria
Description: partial 16S ribosomal RNA
Rfam family: Bacterial small subunit ribosomal RNA (bases 20-337)
Source: RNAcentral